Molecule: long non-coding RNA, 1587 nt
Filed under: Apis mellifera (honey bee)
Lineage: Eukaryota; Metazoa; Arthropoda; Insecta; Hymenoptera; Apidae
Description: uncharacterized LOC107965675
Source: RNAcentral
GAGAAUUGAUUCUAGAAACAAAUGUUGAUCGAAAUUUAUCUUUAUAUUAAAUUAUAAGUGAAAUUCAUUCGCAAUGAAGCGAAGCGAAAAUAGAGUAAGAUAAUUCUAUCUCACAUUUUUCUUCUUUACUUAUAACCUCAAUUACUCGUAAUUUGAACAAGCCUCAAUUUUUGUACGUUAACUUUUGUAUCACGUUUUGUCACUGUAAUUGAGUCUACAACUUCCAUUAAUUUAACAAAAAAAAAAAAAAAUUAUAAUCAAAAGAGAGUCAAAUAUAUUUGUAUCAUAACCUAAUAUCAUAACCUAUAUUCGUCCCCAAUUUUAAAUUCAGACAAAAUAUAUUCUUCACUUUAUUAUAUAUAUAUAAGCGAUUAUUAAAUCAUCUUACAAAUGAAUUAGAACGUUAUUUAUAUUAUCUCGAGCAUAAUCUAUAUUACACAAUGCUACGGUAGAUAACAAUUUAAUCAACAAACAAUUCUCUCCAUGCACGCUAAGAACUUCGAUCCAACGUCGACGAUUCGAAACAUUCGUUACACCGAAUUUUUGCACGUCCUGACUUAAUUUAAUUUUCUCGAAUUCCAUAUCACUAUCUCGAAGGGAUUACAAUUUCUACCUCUGAAUUUUCGCUUCUUUCCUUUCCUUUCCUUUCUUCCUUCGAUGAACCGACAAUUUAUAUUUUUUCGCUGGCAAGCAAGAGAUUUAGAGAGACAGCCAACUCGGGUCUGGAAUUCGUGCCAAAACCGUGCAAUCUGCACGAUCGAAGCAGCCGUGCUAUAAGCUAACGCAUAGUUCGAGGUGAAUCCGCUUCGUCAUUCGAUGACAUCACGAGGCAAAUCGCUCGAGUAUACACUAUCAUUGUUCACUGUAAGCGCACGUUGCGGAUCAUUCUUCAAUAAAUGAAAACAAAGUUUUUAUCAAAGUGAUGUAAACACUUGUAUCUUGGUCAUAAAUCAAUAUAGGGAAAUCCAAUGUAAUUAGUGAUAUAAAAAUAAUUUAAUUCUUAUUCUUAGUUUACUUCUUCGAUGGUUGUUCAAUCUUUAAGUAAGGUUAGAAAACUUGGUGCACUCUUCAGGGAUUUGAAUUUUUCAGACAUGCUACGUUUAUAUUCCUGCUUACAUAAUUUAAUAUUGUUAACGUGUUAAUGAAAAUUUAAAUAAAGAAAAAAAAUUAGUCGUAAGAAAUCAAUCUAAAGUUGAGGCGUUCGAAAAUCUUCGAGAUCAUAUUCGUAACACAUAGAUUCAUUAAGAGUAUCGAGUGUCAUAAGUUAUAUCGUUCUUCGAUCCGUUCUCACUUACAAUUAGAAUAUUGUUCCACGAUCGGUGGUCGACCUAUCAACAAUAUCUUUUUAAUAAAAUCGAGAGCAUUCAAUAUAAAUUCCUACUAUUUGCUUUCAUUAUGGGUUCUCUCAUGUCAUUAUAUAAUCACGUCUGAACACUUAUAUUAACUCGUCUAAAUUCUUGUGCCUUGAGAGAUGCGACAUAUACUGAUGACAGUCUCGGCUAUUUUAAAUUGUCCGGAAACUCUUAUUUGCAAAUUAUUUAUUUAAUCAAAUUGUAUAUAUAUAUUUGCAUAAAUUAUAUUAUUGUA